CCUACGGGACGCAGCAGUGGGGGAUAUUGCACAAUGGGGGAAACCCUGAUGCAGCGACGCCGCGUGAGUGAAGAAGUAUUUCGGUACGUAAAGCUCUAUCAGCAGGGAAGAAAAAAGACGGUACCUGACUAAGAAGCCCCGGCUAACUACGUGCCAGCAGCCGCGGUAAUACGGAGGAUGCGAGCGUUAUCCGGAUUUAUUGGGUUUAAAGGGUGCGUAGGCGGAGUGUCAAGUCAGCGGUAAAAUUUCGGGGCUCAACCCCGUCGUGCCGUUGAAACUGACACCCUUGAGUGAGUGAGAAGUAA
This 305-nucleotide ribosomal RNA is filed under the name uncultured bacterium. RNAcentral's name for it is "bacterial SSU rRNA". It matches the Rfam family "Bacterial small subunit ribosomal RNA", at positions 338 to 660 of the family's 1533-position model. The record is from RNAcentral.